This is a long non-coding RNA of Sinocyclocheilus grahami, 574 nucleotides long. RefSeq lists it as uncharacterized. The transcript has 4 exons. NCBI's taxonomy places the organism in Eukaryota, Metazoa, Chordata, Actinopteri, Cypriniformes, Cyprinidae. The record is from RefSeq and is a predicted model, not a curated record.
UUCAUUUGACCCCUCAGCUGUCAAUCACUCGUUAGUUCCUCCCUCAUGGGCGUGGCCGUUCACUGCGGUACCCUGAUUGUUGUGUCUCAUCUGCUCUGAUCCGUUCAUCCUUCUCUCUUUUCCGCUAUUUUAAAACGCACCCGCUGGGCAGAUAACAAAAGUGACAAGUAAACGCUGCCCGUGGCCCACACAAGGAACUUAAGUAUGUAUUCAAUUGGAGGAGUGUCGACGCGUAUCUACAAGGAACGCCUGCAGGCAGAAGGGAUGGGAACUAAUGACAAUGCGGUCAAAUUCCUGAAUCAGGACUACGAGGAGCUGAAGAGAGAAUGUUUGGAGAGUGGCAGGCUGUUUGAAGACCCUUGCUUUCUCGCCGUGCCUCAGUCACUGGGCUUCAAGGAGCUUGCACCACACUCCUCCAAAACACGCGGUGUGCAGUGGAUAAGGCCCACUGAGCUGUCAAACAAUCCUCAGUUUAUAGUGGGCGGAGCCACACGUACAGAUAUUUGCCAGGGGGCCCUUGGUGAGUAUGUACUGUACUGUAUUAGCCUGGAUGUGUGCAUUUGUGCAUGCUUGC